UGCUAGGUUAUGAAAAUGUUUUCAGAAUAGUAUAAUCCUAUUAAAAUGAUUUGCUCACAAAUUCUCAAAUUUUAAGCUACAUUUAUUUCUUUAAUUAAGAAUCAUGCUGAAAGCAGUAAUCGAUUUCAAAUUUGUAAUAAUCAAUUUACUUUUCAUUUCAAGAGAGCGAUAUUGCUUCUCACUUAAAUAAUUUCCCAAACUCAAUAUUGGCUUUUAAUUCUUUUUUUGCUUAAUCAAGCUUUUGUUAUAUUGUUCCAAACAUCAGUUGAUGCCUACUCUCUAAGAAUGCUGAUAGCUUCUAUCUGUUCCUGUUUGUCAAAUUAUCUGCUGGUGAUGCAUAGCUGCCUGAGCACCUCUAAAAGAAUUUCCAUUAGAAUGAAGGUAGUAAUGUGUGUAUGUUAUGUAUAUGAGUGUGCAUUCGCAUGUAAUUCACAUAUAUAAGUACACACAUUUAUAUGUGCAGACACAGAUUUUUGUAUGUGUAUAUACAAGAUCAUUUUGUUCUUAUCAUUAAAGCAUGUGCCAUGCUUUGCACUUCACACCUAGGCUCCAAAAGACCUUGGCGCUUUGCUUUUCCUUAAGGCCAUUGGAAACUUCAGAAUUAACAUAUACCAUAGUACAUCUUGAACAUAAUUCAUAAGUUCAUUCAUAAUUUGUAUAAUAGAGAUGGGCAUGGAUUGAUCUUAGUAUAAGCCUAUUGUGACUAAAAAUAUGCUUGUAAUAUCAUGACAACUACUAAAGCUUAUUUAAUGCUCUGGAAUGUACGCCUUCAAUGAUUUGACGCCUUCAAUGAUUUGAAUGUAUUGCUUUACGUAUGUCCUGCAUCAAGGUUUGCCGAACAAGUAUUAGGGCUUGUACUGGCCAGCAAUUGGUUAAGUGUGAUAAGGGUUUGUAGUUGUGUCAUUUUGAGGCGUAUAAAAUAGGGAGGGGGAGAACGAGGAGGUGGAAUGUACGCCUUCAAUGAUUUGAAUGUAUUGCUUUACGUAUGUCCUGCAUCAAGGUUUGCCGAACAAGUAUUAGGGCUUGUACUGGCCAGCAAUUGGUCUAAGUGUGAUAUGGGUUUGUAGUUGUGUCAUUUUGAGGCGUAUAAAAUAGGGAGGGGGAGAACGAGGAGAGUAAGAGAGAGAGGAGGGAGAGGGAGAAGGGGGAGAAGAAGGAGACAGAGGGAGGGAGAGGAUUGAUCAUCCGUAUGUGAGAAAGAGGUCUUGUGAACCUUACUUUCCUAGAUAGGUGGUGAUCUUGCCCUUGAUGGUCACUGGAGACAAUGGGAGCAGGACUAAGAAUUGCGGCAAGGUCCAUAUCAGUCCCAUUUGAUGGCAAAUAAGUGACCCAGAGUAGAUUUGGACAUCGUAGUGUGAUGAUAAGGCCGAUGUUGGCACCGCACAAAUCUUGUGCAUCCCUAGCAUCAUCGGUCUUGGAUGAUGCUUGAUGGUCGAGAUCAUGGCUUGGGGAGUGUGGAUUUGGUGGUAGAGAAGUUGGAGGAUGGUGUCACUAUGACAAUCAUCAUCGCCAUUCCACUUUCUCUUUCGUCCCAUUUCUUCCUCCUUUGUUGGAUGAGCCGUCAUCGGAGCGGAGAAUGCAGUGACGGCAGAUAGAGAGAGGGAGAGAUUUUUCAUGUGAGAGAGAGAUGAGUGAAGAUCAAGACCGCCAGGUGGUGGGGUGCUUGGGGGUUUAUUAAGAGCCGAACUAUCCCAGUUUAUGACAAGUUCAGUUUGGUACGGUCUGAGCUGCUUGGUUCGAGAUGGUUUGGCUGACCUUGUCUUGCAUGAACCUAUCAAAUUACCUUUUUCGGUCCCCUAUAAUUUCACUAGUAAAAAUUGUACAUAGCUUUUUGCCUUUUUCUAUAUUUUUCUAUCAGUUGCAUGAGUUACAAGAUAACCCCAAUUGUUGAUCUUUUAGGUAUAUAUCCAAAUUAAUUCUUUGUAAUGGUUGUUAUUUAUCUUAAUCUUUGUUCAGUUACACAUUUCCAUUACUUCAUUGAUAACUAGAAUUUUUUUUAGCUCCUUUUUAUACAAAAUAUAUAUUUUUUUCAAUCAGUGAAUUCAUUCUUGGUUGUUUAAAACUUCUUAGAUAAGUUAGUAAGCUAGGUUAGCUCACUAUCUCAUGAUUUUUCGAACGUCAAUAGGUAUUUCAUUUGUCUCUAAUGCCUUACACUUUCACAUCCUUUUCUAAGCUACCUCCACUUUUAUGUUUGGGUUUUAUAUGACCAGACUCUCAAUGCCUCACAAAUUGUAGUUACUCGAUAAAUAUUUCUUUAGUAGAAACAAUAUUUGAAAAUAACAGCUUCGUCUUCUUUAGUAGUAUAUACAGCUGCAUAGACCUGCAUCUAUAACACCACAACCUAUUUUAUAAAUUAUCAUAUGCAAUAUAUGUUUUGUGUUACUAGUCUUUUUGCAUGUUUCUUAGUCAUCUUGUAUCAUUUAAAAUCCUUGAUAUCAUGUGUUCUGCAUCAACUUUCAAAGCAAAUCCUCUUAUGCCUUUGCCUUUUUGACCUUAUUAUCAGAGUUUCAAACUCCUUUUUUUAUCUUAUUAUUCCACUUACAAUUUGUUUAUAUGUAUAUGUUUUGUCUUUCAGCUCUCUCAGAACAUUUUAAGCUCUCUUAAUACUAUCAAUCAUUUGUUCCCAAAUUCUAUUUGGUUUAGUUCUCAAGUUCCAAUUUUUCCUCCUUAAAUAAUUUAUGCCUGAAAGAUGUAAUGUUUUCUCCUUUUAAAUUUCACCAUCAUAGUAUCCUGCACUUGGUGUACAUGUACAUCUAACGUUACUAGCCUAUGUUGUGUGGUUAAGCUUUCUUCUGGGAUCACCAUACAAUCUUUUCAAGUUGGUUUCUCCCUCUCUCCCUCUCUCCCUCCAUGCAAUUAACAAACUACAUUUUUCUUGCAUUUGAUCUACUCCCAGAGGUUACUGAAUAUAUAUCUUUUUUUUUUUUGUUGUAUUUCUAAUAACUAGAUCAUAUUGCUAUACAUUAUAUCUAGAUAUAUUUUGGUGGGUGUCAAACCCUAAAUCUAGAAGUGCAGAGAACCUGACUCCCAUACCAAUGAUCAAUACCUAUUGUUAUGCUUGAUAUAUAGUGUCCAUUAUGUUGAGAUAUAUUCAGCUCUGAUAUCAAAAUUCUGAUUCUUGGGUUUGGAGAAUCUGACAGUCUGUACUUGUGUUUCACACUUAUGGUUGCACAAGUAUUGGGGCAACAUAUACCAUAAUUUUAAAUUGUGCCUACACCUGGAGAAGGUUUCUGCUGCAUAAACACAGUUUUGCAGGCUUCAACCUGCUUUUAGUAAAUUGUUUCAUAUGAUAUAUAAUGAUUCGACAAUAUUAUAUUGUUUCUUGUAUGGAUUAUAUUAUUAUGAUCCAAAUAUAUUGGUAUAAAGGGAUGACAGGUUCUGCUGUUUUCUUUUUCCCUUCCUUUUGCCUUAAAAAAAUUGAGUUCUUUCUUGCUCCAACUACAUUAUUAUUAGCUUCUUUCUUGGGUAACCCUAUGUUGGUCUAUUCUAGCAAGUGCUAUUCUGAAAUCUUCAAUUUUUUCAUUUCUACCAACAAUUUUUAUGUCAGCCAAUGAAUUCUGUGGCUAUGUAAGAUUGCACUAUAGUGUCAUCUGAAUGACAGAUCACAGUGCUUGAAGUUCUUGUUUGCUCAAAAGUUGCAAUAAUUCAGUAAGUGAUGGUAAGAAAUAGAAACAAGUUUUUCUUCUGCCACAUGUAUGCUUCAUCUGUUGACUUUAUUUUUGUAAGAUUUUAGAUAUUGUAGUGUUUCUCAGAUAGCUAUUGGUACCUUUCCUGCAUCUUUUUGUUGGUUUCUAUUGUUUAGCUUGGCAUCAUUGUUGAAUUACUUAAUUUCACUUUUUUAAAAUAUAUCAGGUUUUUAUUUGUUUAACUGUGUUUUGUUUUAUCUUGUAG
RNAcentral lists this long non-coding RNA (3891 nucleotides) under Elaeis guineensis (African oil palm). RNAcentral describes it as "long non-coding RNA (EGUI_LNC042200)". Lineage: Eukaryota; Viridiplantae; Streptophyta; Magnoliopsida; Arecales; Arecaceae. The record is from RNAcentral.